RNAcentral lists this ribosomal RNA (431 nucleotides) under uncultured bacterium. RNAcentral describes it as "bacterial SSU rRNA". It matches the Rfam family "Bacterial small subunit ribosomal RNA", at positions 355 to 796 of the family's 1533-position model. The record is from RNAcentral.
UCGAGGAUCUUCGGCAAUGGGCGCAAGCCUGACCGAGCGACGCCGCGUGUGCGAUGAAGGCCUUCGGGUUGUAAAGCACUGUCGAGGGGGAGGAAGCCGCAAGGUUGACCUAUCCCUGGAGGAAGCACGGGCUAAGUUCGUGCCAGCAGCCGCGGUAAGACGAACCGUGCAAACGUUGUUCGGAAUCACUGGGCUUAAAGGGCGCGUAGGCGGACUCGCCAGUCUGUGGUGAAAGCCCCCGGCUUAACCGGGGAAGUGCCGUGGAUACUGCGAGUCUGGAGGAGGGUAGGGGCAUCUGGAACGCUGGGUGGAGCGGUGAAAUGCGUUGAUAUCCAGCGGAACUCCGGUGGCGAAGGCGAGGUGCUGGACCCUUUCUGACGCUGAGGCGCGAAAGCCAGGGGAGCAAACGGGAUUAGAUACCCCCGUAGUCC